This 207-nucleotide ribosomal RNA is filed under the name uncultured bacterium. RNAcentral's name for it is "partial 16S ribosomal RNA". It matches the Rfam family "Bacterial small subunit ribosomal RNA", at positions 326 to 535 of the family's 1533-position model. The record is from RNAcentral.
ACGCUCGACACCUACGCAGGCAGCAGUGGGGGAAUAUUGCACAAUGGGGGAAACCCGUGAUGCAGCGACGCCGCGUGAAGGAUGAAGUAUUUCGGUAUGUAAACUUCUAUCAGCAGGGAAGAAAGUGACGGUACCUGACUAAGAAGCCCCGGCUAACUACGUGCCAGCACGCCGGACGGUAAUCUGAGGCGGGUCGUGGACGAAGGC